AGCUCCAAUAGCGUAUAUUAAAGUUGUUGCGGUUAAAAAGCUCGUAGUUGGAUUUCUGCCGAGGACGACUGGUCCGCCCUCUGGGUGAGUAUCUAGUUCGGCCUGGGCAUCUUCUUGGAGAACGUAGCUGCACUUGACUGUGUGGUGCGGUAUCCAGGACUUUUACCUUGAGGAAAUUAGAGUGUUUCAAGCAGGCACACGCCUUGAAUAUAUUAGCAUGGAAUAAUGAUAUAGGACCUUGGUACUAUUUUGUUGGUUUGCGCACUAAGGUAAUGAUUAAGAGGGACAGUUGGGGGUAUUUGUAUUCCAUUGUCAGAGAUGAAAUUCUUGGAUUUUUGGAAGACAAACUACUGCGAAAGCAUUUGCCAAGAAUGUUU
Molecule: ribosomal RNA, 377 nt
Filed under: uncultured eukaryote
Lineage: Eukaryota
Description: SSU rRNA
Rfam family: Eukaryotic small subunit ribosomal RNA
Source: RNAcentral